Molecule: ribosomal RNA, 336 nt
Filed under: Malacostraca environmental sample
Lineage: Eukaryota; Metazoa; Arthropoda; Malacostraca
Description: bacterial SSU rRNA
Rfam family: Eukaryotic small subunit ribosomal RNA
Source: RNAcentral
AAACUUAAAGGAAUUGACGGAAAGGCACCACCAGGCGUGGAGCUUGCGGCUCAAUUUGACUCAACACGGGAAAUCUCACCAGACCCGAACAUCUCUAACGAUUGACAGAUUGAAAGCUCUUUCUUAAUGAAGUGGAUGGUGGUGCAUGGCCGUUCUUAGUUGGUGGAGCGAUUUGUCUGGUUAAUUCCGAUAACGAACGAGACUCUGGCCUACUAACUAGUCGUCGGGUUGUCUUGUACCGGCUUCGGUCGGUCGCCCGUCGCAACUUCUUCUUAGAGGGAUCCGCGUCAUCUAGACGCAAGAGACUGAGCAAUAACAGGUCUGUGAUGCCCUUAG